AUGGCCUACGGGGCGCAGCAGUAAGGGAUAUUGGUCAAUGGGGGAAACCCUGAACCAGCAACGCCGCGUGAGGGAAGACGGUUUUCGGAUUGUAAACCUCUGUCCUCUGUGAAGAUGAUGACGGUAGCAGAGGAGGAAGCUUCGGCUAACUCCGUGCCAGCAGCCGCGGUAAUACGGAGGAUGCGAGCGUUAUCCGGAUUUAUUGGGUUUAAAGGGUGCGCAGGCGGUCUGUUAAGUCAGCGGUCAAAGCCCGGGGC
RNAcentral lists this ribosomal RNA (257 nucleotides) under uncultured bacterium. RNAcentral describes it as "partial 16S ribosomal RNA". It matches the Rfam family "Bacterial small subunit ribosomal RNA", at positions 334 to 608 of the family's 1533-position model. The record is from RNAcentral.